UACAGAGGUCCCAAGCGUUGUUCGGAUUCAUUGGGCGUAAAGGGUGCGUAGGUGGCUCGCUAAGUCAGGCGUGAAAUUUCGGAGCUUAACUCCGAAACUGCAUUUGAUACUGGCGUGCUUGAGGACUGGAGAGGAGACUGGAAUUUACGGUGUAGCAGUGAAAUGCGUAGAGAUCGUAAGGAAGACCAGUGGCGAAGGCGGGUCUCUGGACAGUUCCUGACACUGAGGCACGAAGGCCAGGGGAGCAAACGGG
Molecule: ribosomal RNA, 253 nt
Filed under: uncultured bacterium
Lineage: Bacteria
Description: partial 16S ribosomal RNA
Rfam family: Bacterial small subunit ribosomal RNA
Source: RNAcentral